AUUGAACGCUGGCGGCAGGCCUAACACAUGCAAGUCGAGCGGAUGAAGGGAGCUUGCUCCUGGAUUCAGAGGCGGACGGGAGAGUAAUGCCUAGGCAUCUGCCUGGUAGUGGGGGAUAACGUCCGGAACCGGGCGCUAAUACCGCAUACGGCCUGCGGGAGAAAGCGGGGGAUCUUCGGACCCCACGCUAACAGAUGAUCCUAGGUCGGCUUUGCUAGUUGGUGGGGUAAAGGCCUACUAAGGCGACUAUCCGUAACUGGUCGGAGAGGAUGAUCAGUCACACUGGAACUGAGACACGGUCCAGACUCCUACGGGAGGCAGCAGUGGGGAAUAUUGGACAAUGGGCGAAAGCCUGAUCCAGCCAUGCCGCGUGUGUGAAGAAGGUCUUCGGAUUGUAAAGCACUUUAAGUUGGGAGGAAGGGCAGUAAGUUAAUACCUUGCUGUUUUGACGUUACCAACAGAAUAAGCACCGGCUAACUUCGUG
Molecule: ribosomal RNA, 484 nt
Filed under: uncultured bacterium
Lineage: Bacteria
Description: partial 16S ribosomal RNA
Rfam family: Bacterial small subunit ribosomal RNA
Source: RNAcentral